GUGGGGAAUCUUCCGCAAUGGGCGCAAGCCUGACGGAGCAACGCCGCGUGAGUGAAGAAGGCCUUCGGGUCGUAAAGCUCUGUCUUUAGGGAAGAAAAGCGAUUAUGUAAAUAAUGUAGUCGUGUGACGGUACCUAAGGAGGAAGCUCCGGCUAACUACGUGCCAGCAGCCGCGGUAAUACGUAGGGAGCAAGCGUUGUCCGGAAUUACUGGGCGUAAAGGGCGCGUAGGCGGGUAUUUAAGUCAGGUGUGAAAACUCCGAGCUCAACUUGGAGAUUGCACUUGAAACUGGGUAUCUUGAGGGCAGGAGAGGAAAGUGGAAUUCCUAGUGUAGCGGUGAAAUGCGUAGAUAUUAGGAGGAACACCAGUGGCGAAGGCGACUUUCUGGACUGUACCUGACGCUGAGGCGCGAAAGCCAGGGGAGCGAACGGGAUUAGAAACCCUUGUAGUCC
RNAcentral lists this ribosomal RNA (451 nucleotides) under uncultured bacterium. RNAcentral's name for it is "partial 16S ribosomal RNA". It matches the Rfam family "Bacterial small subunit ribosomal RNA", at positions 354 to 796 of the family's 1533-position model. The record is from RNAcentral.